GAUGAACGCUGGCGGCGUGCUUAACACAUGCAAGUCGAACGAAGCACUUUAUUUGAUUUCCUUCGGGACUGAUUAUUUUGUGACUGAGUGGCGGACGGGUGAGUAACGCGUGGGUAACCUGCCUUGUACAGGGGGAUAACAGUUGGAAACGGCUGCUAAUACCGCAUAAGCGCACGGCAUCGCAUGAUGCAGUGUGAGAAACUCCGGUGGUAUAAGAUGGACCCGCGUUGGAUUAGCUAGUUGGUGAGGUAACGGCCCACCAAGGCGACGAUCCAUAGCCGACCUGAGAGGGUGACCGGCCACAUUGGGACUGAGACACGGCCCAAACUCCUACGGGAGGCAGCAGUGGGGAAUAUUGCACAAUGGGCGAAAGCCUGAUGCAGCGACGCCGCGUGAGCGAAGAAGUAUUUCGGUAUGUAAAGCUCUAUCAGCAGGGAAGAUAAUGACGGUACCUGACUAAGAAGCACCGGCUAAAUACGUG
This 481-nucleotide ribosomal RNA is filed under the name uncultured bacterium. RNAcentral describes it as "partial 16S ribosomal RNA". It matches the Rfam family "Bacterial small subunit ribosomal RNA", at positions 28 to 507 of the family's 1533-position model. The record is from RNAcentral.